RNAcentral lists this ribosomal RNA (592 nucleotides) under Skeletonema menzelii. RNAcentral's name for it is "partial Eukaryotic large subunit ribosomal RNA". It matches the Rfam family "Eukaryotic large subunit ribosomal RNA", at positions 1196 to 1784 of the family's 3401-position model. Lineage: Eukaryota; Bacillariophyta; Thalassiosirophyceae; Thalassiosirales; Thalassiosiraceae. The record is from RNAcentral.
GACGCUCAUCAGACACCACAAAAGGUGUUAGUACAUUUUGACAUUUGGACGGUGGCCAUGGAAGUCGGAAUCCGCUAAGGACUGUGUAACAACUCACCAAACGAAUGAACUAGCCCUGAAAAUGGAUGGCGCUCAAGCGUCUCACCCAUACCUCGCCCUCAGGGUAGAAACGAUGCCCUGAGGAGUAGGCGGACGUGGAGGUCAGUGACGAAGCCUAGGGCGCGAGCCCGGGUUGAACGGCCUCUAGUGCAGAUCUCAGUGGUAGUAGCAAUUAUUUCAAUGAGAACUUGAAAGACCGAAGUGGGGAAAGGUUCCAUGUGAACAGCAGUUGGACAUGGGUUAGUCGAUCCUAAGAGAUGGGGAAGCUCCGUUUCAAAGCGCUUGAUUUUUCAAGCCUACCAUCGAAAGGGAAUCCGGUUAAAAUUCCGGAACUUGGAUAUGGAUUCUUCACGGUAACGUAACUGAAUGUGGAGACGUCGGCAUGAGCCCUAGGAGGAGUUAUCUUUUCUUCUUAACAGCUUAUCACCCUGGAAUUGGUUUAUCCGGAGAUGGGGUCUUAUGGCUGGAAGAGCGCAGCACGUCUUGCUGCGUC